CGCAUCUGUGCAUGCAGCAUAUCAAUAAGCGGAGGAAAAGAAACUAACAAGGAUUCCCUUAGUAACGGCGAGUGAAGCGGGAAGAGCUCAAAUUUGAAAUCUUCAAGGUUUUACCUUGACGAAUUGUAGUUUAAAGAAGUGUUUUCUGCUGAAGUUUUGGUAAAAGUUCUUUGGAAUAGGACAUCAUAGAGGGUGAGAAUCCCGUAUUUGACCAUUAUUUUCAGCUUUGUGAUACACUUUCAAAGAGUCGGAUUGUUUGGGAAUGCAAGUCCAAAAUGGGUGGUAAAUUUCAUCUAAAGCUAAAUAUUGGCGAGAGACCGAUAGCGAACAAGUACCGUGAGGGAAAGAUGAAAAGAACUUUGAAAAGAGAGUUAAACAGUACGUGAAAUUGUCAAAAGGGAAGCGUUUGACACCAGUGUUGUUUUCUCGAAAAUCAAUUAAAAAUGGCUCGAUUUUGUAUUGCUGAGAUCUUAAAAGCUCACUGUACAUUUUUCGUGUCUUUUUUAAUGCACUUUUCGUUUAACAAGUCAACAUCAGUUUCUUUUGUUGUAAAAGGGUCAUUGGAAGGUGGCUUUCUUUUCGGAGAAAGUGUUUAUAGCCUUUGGCCUCUGCAAUCGGAGAGACUGAGGUCUGCAGCGUAGACUCUUCGGGGUUAGAUACAUUUGUGCUAAGUUAUAGCUUUUUAUAGACAACUUGUUGACUAUAAUUAGUCUUGUAGCUUACUCGCUUAUGCUAUUUUACCUACGCUUAGGAUGUUGACGCAUGAGAUAUACGC
RNAcentral lists this ribosomal RNA (775 nucleotides) under uncultured Neocallimastigales. Its description in RNAcentral is "partial large subunit ribosomal RNA". It matches the Rfam family "Eukaryotic large subunit ribosomal RNA", at positions 26 to 612 of the family's 3401-position model. Lineage: Eukaryota; Fungi; Neocallimastigomycota; Neocallimastigomycetes; Neocallimastigales. The record is from RNAcentral.